Molecule: long non-coding RNA, 1194 nt
Organism: Zonotrichia leucophrys gambelii
Lineage: Eukaryota; Metazoa; Chordata; Aves; Passeriformes; Passerellidae
Exons: 3
Source: RefSeq, a predicted model, not a curated record
ACUGGAGUCAGUUGGCUGCUGUGAGGACAAGGAAGAGUCAGUGCUUAGAGGAGCUGCCUACAAGAAAUAUCAAGGAGCUUCCUUUAGCUCUUCUGCCAAGGUGAGGUGGGACUGCAGAGAUUUGCUGAUGGCUCUGGCCUGGCAGCAGGAGCAUGGACCAACCUGUGCUGCUUGGCAGUCAGUCCUGCAGCAGCUCUGUGAGAAGUCAUGGCAAACAUCCUUGUGGGACUUCCCUGCCCUGACAAACCCACCUGCACACACAGCUCCCCCAGCUUCCCCUCCCAGAUGGGUUUUAUAACCUUCCUGUAAAACCAGCCCUGAGGAGGGCUUACACAGAGCCAAGGCCUUUUCUGCUUUUCCUGCUGCCGUGCUGGUGAGGACCUUGGUGAUGCAUGGGAGAUUGGGAGGAGAAACAGCUGGAACAGGUGACCCCAACUGACCAAAGGAAUACUCCAGACCAUUUGAUAUCAUGGUCAGGAUAUAAGGUGGGAAGAAGGAGAAAAGGGGGAAUGUUUGGAGUGAUGGUGUUUGUCUUCCCAAGUAACCGUUAAGUGAUGGGGCCCUGCUCUCCUGGAGAUUGCUGAACACCUGCCUGCCCAUGGGAAGCAGUGAAUUAAUCCCUUGUUUUAUUUUACUUGUGGGUGUGUCUUUUCCUGUUUAACUGUAUUUAUCUCAAUCCACAAGUCUCCUAUCUUUUACUCUUCUGAUUCUGCCCUGGAUCUCCCUGGUGGGGCCAUAAGCAAGCAGCUGCCUGGGCUUUGGCUGUUGGCUGGGGCUAAACUUUGACAUUACUACAGACUCACAGAAAAAACCAAGCAUUUGUUCUUCCUCUCCAUAAAUUUAGAAGAAUAAUAGGUGGGGAACAGGAUGCAUACAAACGUGUAUGUAUGCAAAUGUGAACACACACCUGUUCUUAAAAAUUUUUUCCAUCAAAUACAUCAAAAAUGUAGCCCAAAUAUGGAGCAGCUGAAAUAAAAUAAAAGGUCUAUUGCAUAAGGUCACAUAUUAGAAUUCAGUCAGACUGAACCAGCAAUAAGAUGAAAGUAAAAGAAUAAAUAAGUAUCAAUUCUCCUCUCAUUUUUUCUCCUACUUAAUAUAGACUGCAAUUGUAUCUAAAGUGUCCAACCUACUCUUGAAAAUUGAAGUAGGAGAAUACUUUUGAUUGUGGUGUGAAAUAAAGCAUAGCACUUCAAA